CAAAGUGUAGCUUAAAUCUAAAGCAUCCGGCCUACACCCGAAAGACUUCACGACUGACGUGACCACUUUGA
This 71-nucleotide transfer RNA is filed under the name Lepilemur randrianasoloi (Randrianasolo's sportive lemur). RNAcentral's name for it is "tRNA-Val". Lineage: Eukaryota; Metazoa; Chordata; Mammalia; Primates; Lepilemuridae. The record is from RNAcentral.